ACGGGAGGCAGCAGUGGGGAAUAUUGGACAAUGGAGGCAACUCUGAUCCAGCGACGCCGCGUGAGUGAAGAAGUAUUUCGGUAUGUAAAGCUCUAUCAGCAGGGAAGAUGAUGACGGUACCUGACUAAGAAGCCCCGGCUAACUACGUGCCAGCAGCCGCGGUAAUACGUAGGGGGCAAGCGUUAUCCGGAUUUACUGGGUGUAAAGGGAGUGUAGGCGGCUGCGCAAGUCAGAAGUGAAAGCCCGGGGCUUAACCCCGGGACUGCUUUUGAAACUGCGUAGCUAGAGUGCAGGAGAGGCAAGCGGAAUUCCUAGUGUAGCGGUGAAAUGCGUAGAUAUUAGGAAGAACACCGGUGGCGAAGGCGGCUUGCUGGACUGAGACUGACGCUGAGGCUCGAAAGCGUGGGGAGCAAACAGGAUUAGAUACGGUA
Molecule: ribosomal RNA, 431 nt
Filed under: uncultured Lachnospiraceae bacterium
Lineage: Bacteria; Bacillati; Bacillota; Clostridia; Lachnospirales; Lachnospiraceae
Description: partial 16S ribosomal RNA
Rfam family: Bacterial small subunit ribosomal RNA
Source: RNAcentral